CCAGGGUUCUCCGCUUCGCGGGUCAAUCCAUAGGCCCGGUCAGGCAGCAGGCCAGCUUCACCCGGGAGGUUUUUCCUGAGCCCGAAGGUCCAGUACCCGCUUUAGUGUCCAGAUGAGGCAGAGUAGUUUUCGCAUGGGGAGGAUCGAACCCGGAUGGUGGUUGCCACCACAGGCCCGUCCUUUCACUUGGACUACCUCGUCC
This 202-nucleotide long non-coding RNA is filed under the name Brassica napus (rape). RNAcentral describes it as "long non-coding RNA (BNAP_LNC020266)". Lineage: Eukaryota; Viridiplantae; Streptophyta; Magnoliopsida; Brassicales; Brassicaceae. The record is from RNAcentral.